Long non-coding RNA from Anopheles merus, 3368 nucleotides. RefSeq lists it as uncharacterized. The record is from RefSeq and is a predicted model, not a curated record. Lineage: Eukaryota; Metazoa; Arthropoda; Insecta; Diptera; Culicidae. The transcript has 2 exons.
GUUCGCUACGGAGGCCCGCUUUAAGGUCGGCUAUGUAUGACGAUAGGUCGACAGAAGUGUGGGUGUAGGGGGUGGAAGACAUUGUUAAUGAUGAAGAGGAAGUUUUGAAGAUGAUGAAUACACGAUGUUGUUGCUUUGAACUCUGGAACUUGACUUGUUGUUGUUUGUUGUUUGAAUAGUUUAUAGAGGCUUUGGCUCCAACGGAGUUCUUUCGCCUCUUUGUGAAAAGGGUUAGCUAUUAGACUAUUACAAUUGAUGGUAAAGGUUUGAAAGUUUUAAAAAUUUUGAAAGGUUUUCCUGUUUCGGUGGGUUGGUUGAUACUAUUGAGUCUAUGUUGAAGUCAAGAUUGCAAGUAUUAUGAAGUUGUGUGUAUCCGUGGCAUUCUGUUAAAAGGUGGAAGAUUGUUAUAGUGGUCCCGCAGAAUUGGCAGAGAGGAGGGCUGGAUUGUUCGAUGAUAUAGCUGUGGGUCAGUCUUGUAUGGCCUAUUCUUACUCGAGUAAGAAUCUUCUGGUCUCGAUGUUUUUCUGCUGAUGGCCAUGGUGAAGUUGUUAUUUUCACAAGACGAAGGAAGUUGUUCUUGGUUUUAAACCAUUCCUUUUCCCAUGCUUCUCUUAUUUUUCCAUUAAUGAACAUUAUUGCAUCUCUCUUUGGCAGUGAAGUAUUGUAGGUAGAUGUUUUCCUUCUGCCUUUGUUGGCGAGGCGGUCGGCGAUCUCGUUGCCUUUGAUUCCAGUGAGACCAGGUAUCCAGCAGAUGGUAACUUGCUGGUUUUGAUUUAUAUGCGGACUAGUGAUCUGGUAGAGCUUUUGGAUGUUUGGGUCUCUACAAGACCCAUGCUCUAGUGCUACGAGUACACUCGCACUGUCGGUGAAGAUGACAUUCUCCAGAUCAGAGCGCAGGGCAUCCUCUACUGCUUCAAUAAGUGCAAUUGUUUCGGCGGUAAAUAUGGAAGUGUGAUCCGGUAGUUUUGAUGCUGUUUUAUCAAUUGGUGAAUAAAUUCCGAAUCCUGCCGCUGCUCCAUCGACGGAUCCAUCUGUGUAAAUGUAGUUAUGUUUGAGGUAUUUAUUGUUUAUAUGUGCUUUAAAAUGUUUUUGGGCUAUUGUGCUAUUGCAGCCUGCUUUUAGUAUGUGCUUGAAGUGCCAGUCUAUUGUGGGGGGUUCAUGGUACCACGGCCGAGUGCCGUGUGAUAGUGUGCAACACACUAUCCGUUAGGAUUCGGAUACGAUCAUUUCCGAGUACACUCUUCGUUAGGAUUCGGAUACGAUCAUGAUACGAUCGGAUACGAGUAAUGAUAUGAGUUACCGUGAGUGGCAUAUAUAAGCCAAUUGCCGAGAUAAUAAACGCCCUCUUUUGCUCUCGAAACUACGACACCAAAGCGUUGCGUAAUACUCUCCUGGUACACACAUUUUGUAACAUGCCGAUCCUGCCAGGAGACAAGAAGCCAACAAGACAAGUCGAAUUAGCAACGCACGGCAAAAAGUAAAGUUCGAGUCGAUAUUUUCUGAAAAGUUUUCGCGCUGUCGUAGAACGUUACGUUACAUUAAAUGCUGAUUGAUUUUCAACGAGCAUUAAUGCUGCUGGACGGACGGAGCAAAUCCAUCCGCUAAGUGCUGAUCGAUUAUCGACGAGGAUCGACGCUGUUGGACGAACGCAGUUUGGCGAAGAAGACGAAGAAACCGGGAGAUGUAAAAGGAAGCGGUACAACGGUUGCGGAACAACUUUAACACGAUAUACAGCAGACGCAUUUGGAGCACGUAUAAGAGAGAACGAGACACGAUACGCUACCGGUUGCAGAUCACACAUUAUCCGUCUACACAUCCGUUGCGCGAAGUACUUCUCACACUUGGAUUUAUCGCAAGGAUAUUACCAGUGCGAGCUUAGGAAAGAAGAUCGAAACAUCACUGCUUUCACUACUUCGCAAGGACAAUUCCAAAUGACCAGGUUACCUAUGGGAUUGAAAGUGAGCCCAUCAAUUUUUUCACGUCUCAUGACUGUAGCUAUGUCUGGAUGAAAUUGUGAAAAAUGUUUAAUAUAUUUGGAUGAUAUUAUUGUUUUCGGCGAUUCCAUCGAACAACAUAAUAAAAACCUCAUGGCAAUUUUUAACCGAUUACGGAAAGUAUCUCUCAGACUUAAUCCCAGCAAAUGUAAUUUUCUCCAAAAAGAACUUGUCUAUUUGGGGCACUUAAUUUCUGCUGAAGGUAUAAAACCUGAUCCCAGCAAGGUAGCGUGCAUUAAAGAAUGGCCGAUUCCAACUACCGCAGAUGAAGUCAAAAGAUUCAUAGCAUUCGCUAACUAUUAUAGGAAACACAUACCAAAUUUCGCAAAGCUUUGCAUUCCAUUGAACAUAUUAACCAGAAAAAAUGUACCCUUUGAAUGGACAACUGAGUGUCAGAAAACAUUUGAUAUAUUAAAAGAAAAAUUUAUUAAUCCUCCAGUGUUAGAAUUUCCAGAUUUCAGUAAUAAUAAUACAUUCGUACUUCAUACAGAUGCAUCAGGGAAAGCUAUAGGAGCAGUCUUGAGCAAUAAAAAUAGAAAACCCAUAGCUUUCGCCAGUAGAGCUUUAAAUAAAGCAGAGCAAAAUUACGGCACAAUAGAAAAGGAGCUACUUGCCAUAGUAUGGGCAAUCAAACAUUUCCGGCAAUAUUUGUACGGAAAACAGUUUGAUAUUUAUACAGACCAUCGACCACUGGUUUAUCUCUUCUCGAUGAAUGACCCAUCUAGUAGACUUACUAAGUUCAGGUUAGCUCUUGAAGAAUAUUCAUUCACAGUUCAUUAUGAGAAAGGUUGUGAAAACGGAGCAGCGGACGCGUUGUCACGAAUUCACAUUUCUGAUCUAAAGGACCUAAACCAGCAAGUCUUUGCUGUUACAAGAGCACAAUCAAGAAAGGCAAGAAGUGCAAAUCCAGAUAUGGAUAAAGAGCAAAAAACAAAUAGUGUCGGAACAAUGGGAACUGAUCAGCCCAGCGUACCAACUGUAUUUGUGGAAUUGCAAAUUUGCGAUUAUAUUAAAGAAACUGAGAUAGGAAAAGAGACUAUUAAAAUUCCAUCGAUCAUUAACUUAGUUCACCUACGGGGAACUUUGACACAGAUCAAGGAACAUUUAAAAAACAAAAAAGGGAAGGUGUGUCUGGUACUAAAAAAUGAAAAUAAAAAGGAAGAUACAUUCAUGAAGAAACUAAAACAAUUAAAGAUAAAAGGAUUACCGAGGAUAAUAGUCAUCAACAAAAACAUUAAAGUGUUAAAAGAUGAAGAAAAACAUAAAAAGCUUUUAAUAAUGAAUGAACAUCAUAUUUUACCUACAGCAGGUCAUGCAGGAAUUCAUCGCACUUUAAAUACCAUAAGACAAAAAUAUACAUGGAAAGGUAUAGAA